AUUGAACGCUGGCGGCAUGCCUUACACAUGCAAGUCGAACGGCAGCACGGGAGCAAUCCUGGUGGCGAGUGGCGAACGGGUGAGUAAAGUAUCGGAACGUGCCCAGUCGUGGGGGAUAACGUAGCGAAAGUUACGCUAAUACCGCAUACGAUCUAUGGAUGAAAGCGGGGGAUCGCAAGACCUCGCGCGAUUGGAGCGGCCGAUAUCAGAUUAGGUAGUUGGUGGGGUAAAGGCUCACCAAGCCGACGAUCUGUAGCUGGUCUGAGAGGACGACGAGCGACACAGGGACUGAGACACGGCCCAGACUCCUACGGGAGGCAGCAGGGGGGAAUUUUGGACAAUGGGCGAAAGCCUGAUCCAGCCAUGCCGCGUGCAGGAUGAAGGCCUUCGGGUUGUAAACUGCUUUUGUACGGAACGAAAAGGUUUGGCCUAAUAAGCUGAGCUCAUGACGGUACCGUAAGAAUAAGCACCGGCUAACUACGUGCCAGCCGCCGCCGUAA
This 500-nucleotide ribosomal RNA is filed under the name uncultured bacterium. Its description in RNAcentral is "partial 16S ribosomal RNA". It matches the Rfam family "Bacterial small subunit ribosomal RNA", at positions 29 to 523 of the family's 1533-position model. The record is from RNAcentral.